AUCGGGUUCCGUCGACAGAGAGACGGUGGUGUGUCACUCAACCACCGGUGAGGGCAAGCUUUCUAACAGCAGUUAGGUGUCUCGAACUGGUUCACGGCGGCGCUUAGGGUUCUGGCGUCCUGCCUCUAUAUUAAGAUUUGGGAAGUUAAUUAUGAAGAGUUGAGAGUGAAUCGGAUCAACAGCCCGUCUCUCUGCAGCCGUAGCAGCAAGCUUUACCAACGAGCCACCGUCGUAAUGUGUGCACCUAUUCGAGGGAACUGGGAGUUGUUGACGGAGCUUGCAAAAAGUUGUCAUAUCGGGAUUAAGAUGGACUUCAUUAGGUACUUGGAUGUCAUUUGCUGCCAAACUAGGAGAUGUUGAUAGUUUAUGGAAGAGGAGAUGUUGAUAGUUUAUAGAAGAUUGAGAAAAUUAAGAUUGGGGCCGAUGAAAAUACACACAAUUGGUAGCGCUUUUUCAUGUGCAAAAGUGAUUACUUCUUGAAUGCAAACCCGAAGAAGCAGCCGCAAUAAUUCAAGCAGUCACUCAGAAAGUACAUACAUUUAGUUUCACGUCUAGAUUUUCAGUUAGAUUUUAGUGAGAUUCAUUUUAUGUAGCUUCGUUUUGUACAUCCUUGAUUUAUAGGUUAGGCGAUGUGACAAUGGAAUGUUAACUUGGGUUUUAUUUUGGGUUUUAUCAAGUAUGAUGCAUAUGGGAUCCCCGCCGCAUUGCGGCGGGUAAUAAAUCUAGUUAUAAUGUCAUUCA
This 741-nucleotide long non-coding RNA is filed under the name Helianthus annuus (common sunflower). The record is from RNAcentral. Lineage: Eukaryota; Viridiplantae; Streptophyta; Magnoliopsida; Asterales; Asteraceae.